Molecule: long non-coding RNA, 17965 nt
Filed under: Malus domestica (apple)
Lineage: Eukaryota; Viridiplantae; Streptophyta; Magnoliopsida; Rosales; Rosaceae
Description: long non-coding RNA (MDOM_LNC004153)
Source: RNAcentral
CCCUUAAUCUAAGAAACUAGAUGUACAAUGUAAAGGGGAAUAAAAGCUUCCCUGCUUAUUGUCCCUGUACAUAGAUACGCGCGGCAAUAUCAUAACCAGACCUGCUGAAUACUAUAUUUUUCCAGCGCAGUUUCAAGGCUGUUCCGAACACUUCAUUCUUUACCAUCAGCAGCAAGCAGCGAACCAAGUUGAACUGGGGCUUGGGUUCCGACAACCUUAGAUGAGCCAUACACCGAGAGGUCAGCACCUUGUGCCUUCUCUUUCUCAAUCUGUUCCUUGAUCCAGAAGUAUGUAAUUCUCAGACCACCCUACACGAGUAAAAAGAAAAUGUAUGUUCAAAUUAUGCCGUAAACAGGGAGCAAACACAAAUUCAACAUCAAUAACUCCCGACUUUAUGGAAUCUUGGUGGCAUUAAGAAACUGCAGAAUGGGUACUCUCAUGCUGUUUACCUUCAACCUUAUGGUAGGAGCCCAACCAAGUUUCUCUUUGAUCAGUGUGUUGUCCGAGUUACGACCACGGACACCCUCUGGCCCCGGAAUAUGCUGGAUAGGCAGCUUCUUGUCCUCAAAGCUAAGAACCAUCUCAGCCAUCUCAUUCAUGCUAACCAUCUCAUCACUUCCAAUAUUCAGUGGCUCGCGGAAGUCCGACUUCGUCAACCUAUAUCAUAAAAGAGAAGACAUAUAUAUUACAAAUUAUAAAGGGGUUUGCAUGUGAAACACUACAUAUACCUAAUAAAAUUUGGCCCAAGAAAAACAAAUAAUGGAAGUUUAAUCUACCAUACAAUGUUGUAAGGUUCUGAAGAAAUGAAUCGAACGCAUAACAAAAAGAGAUUUCAACAAUGUAAUAUAUUCAUUUGUCUUCAUAUCUAUCACUCUCAUCCAAUUACUCGCAAAACGCCCUCAUAACACUUUCAGCAAGAACUUACACUAUAAUAAUGCAAAGAUUCAAAAUCAAAUCCUUCAAGGUUUAAGUUAUAUGCUGACUUUAUCAUAAUCAACUGAACUAGACUCCACAAAGCCUUGUGAAACAGAAAAACAAUUGACAACAUCUAAGAAAGUCAAAGAAUUUUGAAGCUUAAAGCCUCAAAAGAAGUGUUUUCGGCUAGAAAGUUUGGAGCGAAAAAGUAGUAAUAACAAUAAGGUUCUUACCGAAGAACACCUUCUACACAUUCAUCAAUAAAAGUAAAGGAUCGGGUCUGAAGUCCAUCUCCCCACAUCUCAAACUUUUCAGUGGCAGUGAGUGCCUUUCUGCAAAAAGCAGCAGGAGCCUUCUCCCUUCCACCUAUAAGGAAGCAACAAAACUAGGCCUAAAAGCAAAAAGGCCAUGCAUACAAGUCAGCUAUAAUUGCAAUUCAAGUCACCUUUCCAGGUUCCAAAUGGACCAUAAGUGUUGUGGAACCUUCCAAUACGGCACUCAAUUCCAAAGUCUUUUGUGUAGUGCUUGCACAAUUCCUCAGUUGCAAGCUUCUGCAAGCCAUAAGCAUCUUGAGGCUGCAAAUAAAGGCAAGAAGAGUAAAUUCAUUUAACACAAUUAGUACUAGAGAAAAAAAUCAUAACCGUAAUGUUAUAUACCUCCGCAGGCCAAGCAUCAGACUCCUUCAGGCUCACAUUGGUUUCCAGCUGCUUAAAUUCAGGAUAAAUACAAGCACUUGAAGCAUAGAAAAACCUGCAGAAACCCAUAUAACAGAUAGAGAAUUUGAGUAUUUGAGUAUAUCUUUAAAGCAUUUUGGAGAUAAGAUCCAAAUUUUCGAACUCAAACAAUAGUUACAAUAUGAAUUCAUACAUCUCAGUCAAAAUACGACUUUAGGACAACAAACCUCUUCACAUCAUUGAUCCGAGAAGCCUCAACCAUGUUGAAGCAAAUCAUGGUAUUAUUAUAAAAGAUGACGGAAUGGUUGGACUGAAUGAAGCCCAUUCCGCCCAUAUCAGCUGCGAGGUUGAACACAUGGUCAACAUUCUUAGUAACCUUCAAGCAAUUAUCCAUAACCCUGAGGUCAGCAAGAUGGAAUUCAUGGCAGAAGAUGUCUUCAGUCAUGUAGUCAUUCUUCUUCCAGUCAGAAGCAAUGAUGUAAUGACCCUCAUUCUUCAAUCUCCGGGCAAUGUGGGAGGCGACAAAGCCACCUGCCCCAGUGAUGGAAAUUCGGAGCUUUUCAGAAGGCCAAUAAGGCUCCCUCUCGAGGUUCUCGUAGGUGUACGCACCAUACUUAGUAUCACCAGCAGUUCCCAUUCUGAAAGAUUAUACACAUAGGAAAAAGAUUACCACUUUUGCACUAAAAUUUACCUCCAAGAAAACAACAAAACCCAAAACUGCAAAUAGGAAGACUAACCGACAGAACUGCUGCUUAAUAUCAUAUUCAGAACCAUCUAAUUAAAAUCCAUAUCCAGUGAGUAGAUAUUGCAUAGAAAUUUAAAAAAUGAAGAAAUUUAACCCCCCAUAAAAUUUUAGCAAAUUGGGAAAAGAGUAAAGUAAUUUAACGAGUACCUACAGAAACAAAAUUAGCAUCAAAAUCUCUAUAAAUUAACAUGUAAAAAAAGUAUAACCAGCAGGAUUAUAAUUGACCAUUUCAGGACCAACCCGAAUGAAAACAUCAUCAAAUUACAUGGAAAAACAAAUAUAUCUUUAAGAUUUUGCUAAAAUCAAGUACCAAUCUCUCAGUGUAUAAAAAGGAAUGAAAUUUUAGCAUACCACCCUGCCACACAACCUACCAAAAUACCAAGCAAACAAAAGGAAUGGUGUUAUGAACAAGUUUAACAACCACAACAGCCACUAUACAAACAAUUGAAACAACCCCAUUAAAUGUAACAACCCAUCAAACGUUACAACAAUUGGAACCAGCAUGGGAGAGAAAGAGGAGAGAGAAGAGGGUAAGUGAGAGAAACCCAGUUGGGAAUUUUACCCGGACAAAGCAAAGUUUGAAGCUUUGAAGCUUUGAGAAGUUGGGAAUAAGAAUGAGAGGCAAAAUGUUGGGUUCGGAGGAGAUGAAAGGGGAUAUGAUAUGGGUAUUUGGCCCUCAGCCUGUGAAGUUCUGCUGGUAUAUAUUCAUAAUUGGGACACAGUCCCACAGCAAACAAUAGGACGCCACUCGUUACUAAUUUACGGUUUGACCAUAAAUAAUUCAGAGAGAGAGAGAGAGCCAUAAAUUUUUUUUUUUUGAUAAAUAAAUAUUUAUAUUAACAAGGCAAAGCCCAAAGAGAACAUGAAACAAGCAGAGAGAAACUCUCACAAUACCAAAAAAACAAAGGGGAAACAAAGCCUAACCCACACUGGGGAAGACGACGGGAAAGCGUAGAGCCUAAUGAGUAGCAACAUUCCAACAAUGGAGGAUUGUCAUGUUAAUGGUUGAGGGCCAUAAAUAAUUGAGAGAGAGAGACCAUAAAUAAUUGAGAGAGAGAGAGAGAGAAAGACCAUAAAUAAUUGAGAGAGAGAGGGCGUCUAUACAAAACUUGCACAAUCGCAGAGCCAGUUGGUUAAAAAUAUUAUCGUCUUGCAAUUAAAUUUGAAUCUUGUUAUAAAUAGGCAAAAUUUAGAGAUAUAACAUUUGCUAGUGAUAGGAGUGAAGCGGGGGCAAAAUAUCAUACUAUUUAGUUUCUUAACUAUAACACAAAAGUAUUGCAAAUGAAGUGAAGAAUACUAAUAUUAUUGAUUUUCUUCUUUUCUAAGUUGUACCUUGAUCACUUGCGGUGUGCUCUCUUUAUAGAGUCAUAUCCAUAGGUUUACAGAGAAAUGAAGGAAUCACUUGUGACUACACCUUUUGAAAAAAGCAUAACAUAACAAACUCCCUACUAUUCAACACUAUUCCUAUGUGGGCAUUCAAUCAUUCUCACAAUUUUCCACAACACUUCCCCUUGGAUGCCCACGUAUCAACAUCAGUUGCCUCGUUAAAACAUUGCUUGGAAAAACCUAGUGGGAAGAAACUAUAAUGAAGGAAAAAGAGUACAACUUUAUUUGGAUUGUUGAUAUAGUGUUAAGCAUGCUUAUGUUGCCUCAUUAAAACCUUGAUAGGAAAAACUCAGUGGGAAAAAUCCUAGUCGAAUGAAAAAGAGUACAACUUACAUGUAUCAUGAAUGCUCCCCCUGAUUCCGCAUUUUUCAAAUUUAGCUGAUUGGUAAGUCGACGUAAUCAGAUACUCUGCAUUAGCUUCUGAAAUAUGCACUUUGGUAGAGAUUUGGUGAACAGGUCUGCCAAAUUUUCAUUGGAACGGAUUUGUAUGACUUCAAUAACUUUAGCCUUUUGAAGCUCAUGUGCACUGAAAAACUUUGAAGAUAUGUGUUUAGUCUUAUCGCCCUUGAUGAAUUGGGCAACACAGGCUGCAGUAUCUUCAUGAAUGACAGUUGGAGUGUUUGUCUUUGAAAGUAGACCACAUGAAUUCCAGAUGUGAUGGAUCAUUGAUCUUAACCAAGAACAUUCACGACUUGCUUCAUGUAAAGUAAGUAUUUCCAAGUGAUUGGAAGAUGUAGCAACUAGUGUUUGCUUUGUUGAGCGCCAUGAGAUUAUUGUAUCUUCAUUAGUGAACACGUAUCCAGUUUGUGAGUGGGCUUUACGCGGAUCAGAGAGAAAACCAGUAUCUACGUAUCCAAUAAGGAUCUGGUCAUUUGUGGAUUUCUCUGAAUAUAAGAGACCCAUGUCUGUUGUCCCACAAAUGUAUUACAAUACAUCUUUGCCUCCCUUCCAAUGACAAAUUGUUGGAGCAGAGCUAUACCUUGCUAACAAGCAGUGUUCUAAAAAUCGGUCUAGGUGGUGGCCAGCUGUCGGGAUUAACUCUUAAUCAGGUAAGGACUUAGGCGGCUUGGGCAAACCUUGGGCGUCCUAGGCGGCUGGUUGGUUAGCCUAAGCGGCUGGUUGGUUAGCCUAAGCGGUCUGGAAUUUCAAUUUUUUUCUGUUUUCAAACUUGAGAAAGAAUGAGUACAGUGUGUUCUGGAAUUUGUAAGUUUGCAGGUUCUGUUCUUGUGAAGACGAAAUGAGGAAGAAGAGGAGAAAAUGAGUUUCUCUCUCAUCCUUUCAUUCUCAUGUGACCACCCUCAAACUUUUCCAUUUAAUUUAUUUUUUAAUUUCGUCCAAUCAUGUUUGGAUAGCUAGCAUUAAGUUGACCUAUCAAAAAAGAAAAAUGGGCUGUCAAUACCCAACAUCAAGUUACUAUUGAUUGUUUAGAUUUUUAUAUUCAAGAUAGGGAAAAGGAAAGAAUAAAAAAGAAUAAAAGAUGGUCUCCUUUGUUUCUUUCCAAAAAAAAAAUGGUGUCCUUUGUUUGUGAGUCUCUUGUUGAUGUGAGUGAUGGGAACUAGGGGUGGAGGGGUAGGGUCACACCACACACGUGGUGGUUGAAAUGGGGAAGGAUGUUUUUCUAACGGUUUUGGUGCUCCAAAGUUCAAAGUGGGACACCAACCCAGAUAAAAUCAUAAAUAAAAAAGAGAAGAUUUUGUUGAUGAUAUCAAUGUGCGUGGUUUGGUUAGGGGAUGCCUAGCAUGGCUUCCUAGUAGUUUUAUCAUGAACCAUUCAACCCACUACGUGGGAUUUUUAUUUGUAUUUUUUUUUUAAAUUAGAUAUAAUCAUUCAAAAUGUCUUAAGUUAUAUGGCAUAUAUGCUUAAUGUGUUUCUAAAUUUUAGACUUGUUAGAUAUUAUUUUUGUAUUUUAUUAUUCUUUUAUUAUUUUAUCUAUGGAUUUUAUACAAUUAUAAUUUUUUAUGUGUCAAUAUGCAUUUAUUUACAAGAUAUACAAGAAAUUUACCUAAAUCCGCGCCUAGAUCAUGCCUAACCGCCUAGGCGCUAGGUGCCAACCCGCCGCCCGACUAGUGCCUAGCGUUUUUUAGAACCUUGCUAACAAGUUGACUGAAAAAGCUAUAUCUAGUCUAGUACAUUGUGCUAAAUACAAUAAAGCACUUAUAGCACUUAGAUAUGGUACUUCUGGACUAAGGACCAUUUCAUAAUCUUCUUUUGGACAAAAUGGAUCUUUCUUAAUGUCUAAAUAACGAACGACCAUUGACGUGUUGAAUGGAUAAGCCUUAUCCAUGCCAAAUUGCCUUAGAAUUUUUCAAUGUAAUCUAACUGGUGGACCAAAAUUCCAUUAGCACAAUGCUCAAUCUGCAGGCCGAGACAAUAUUUUGUUUUCUCAAGGUCUUUCAUUUCAAAUUCGCUUUUCAGAUAUUCAGCAGUUUUAUUAAGCUUUUCAGGAGUUCCAACUAGGUUCAUGUCAUCGACAUAUACUGCCAUUAUAGCAAAUCUAGAAUUGGAUUUCUUAAUGAACGCACAAGGGAAAAUGACAUUGUUGAUAUAUCCUUCUUUGAUCAAAUACUCACUGAGACGAUUAUACCAUAUCCAUCCAGAUUGUUUCAGCCCAUAUAAUGAUUGCCUUAAUUUGAUUGAGAGCAUACCUCGUGGUUUCUUAGUUGUUUCAGGCAACUUAAGUCCUUCUGGGACUUUCAUAUAUAUAUCAGUAUCUAAUUUUCCAUAUAGAUACGCGGUGAAGACAUUCAUAAAUCGCAUGUCAAGUUUUUUCUAAAACUACCAAACUUAUUAAGUAACGGAACGUAAUUGCAUCCAUUACAGGAGAGUACGUCUCCUCAUAAUCAAUUCUAGGUCUUUGUGAAAAGCUUUGUGCAACGAGUAGUGCUUUAUAUCUUGCAAUCUCAUUUUUCUCAUUGCGCUUCCUUGUGAAUACUCAUUUGUAACCCACGGGGUUUACACUAGGCAGGGUUUGGUGUCCAAAAACACUUCGCCUUUCCAAGGAAUUUAAUUCUACCUAGAUUGCAUCUUUCCACUUAGGCCAAUCCUGUCUCUGUUUACAUUCAUCAACAGAGUGGGGCUCAAUGUCAUCGCUUAAUAAGAUUUCAGUUGCUACUGUGAAUGCGAACAUGUUGUCGAUGAUUAUUUCAUUUUGAUCCCACAAUUCAUUAGUACAUGCAUAAUUUAUGAAGAUUUCUUUGCCUUCAUGUACUUUUGUCUCUUCAGGGACAUGUAUCUCAUCAAUGACAUUUUCUUUUUCUGAAAAUACAGAAUCAUGAAUUGUGGAUAUGUUAUUCAUUUUCUCUUCCUGAAUGAUUUCAUUUGGAUUCAGCUGUUCCCUCGUCUUUCUCUUUCAAAAGGCUGAAUCUUUUAAACCUAGGGGUCUACCACGUUUUAGAAGUGCACCGGAUGAAUCAUUCGUUGCCUUUAUUUUGUCCAACAGGGACAUCAAUUCUUACAGAUGCAUUUGCAGCUGGAAUAUGUUACUUUGUCAUUUUUGAAGCAUCAUUAAAUGCAUUUGGCAUUUGAUUAGCAAUACUUUAAAGAUAAACGAUCAUUUUCUCUUCAUUUUCACAUUGAAUGCUUCAUGGAUCAAAAUGAGAUAAGAUAGGUACAACCCAUGUCAGCUCUUGCCAUUCUUCUGGAACGGUCUUUUCUCCCCCUAACGAUGGGAAAACUGUCUCAUCAUAGUGACAAUCAGCAAAACGAGCUGUAAGCAUAUCACAUGUCAAGGGUUCUAAAUAUCUAAUGAUGGAUGGUGAAUCAAAACCCCCAUAAAUUCUCAGUUUACGCUGAAGUCCCAUUUUAGUGCGUUGUGGCGGUGUAAUAUGCACAUAAACAACACAACUAAAAACUCUUAAAUGUGAAAUAUUUGGCUGAUGCCCAAACACGAGUUGUAUUGAUGAGUAUUGGUUGUUGGCUAUGGGUCUCAAUCGAACCAAUAAUGCAGCAUGUAAAAUGGCAUGUCUCCAUGUAAAAACUGGCAAUUUAGUUUUCAUUAGCAGAGUGCGAACUAUUAAUUGAAACCGUUUGAUAAAUGCUUCUGCUAAACCAGUUUGAGUAUGGACAUGAGGAACAGAGUGUUCAACAUCAAUGCCCAAUGUCAUGCAAUAAUCAUCAAAGGUUUGAGAAGUAAAUUCACCAACGUUAUUAAGUCGAAUUGACUUAAUAGGGUAAUCUGUGAACUGUGCUUGCAACUUAAUUAUCUGAGCAUGAAGUCUCGCAAAAAUUACAUUUCGAGUAGACAAUAGGCAACCAUGUGACAAUAUGGUAGAUGCAUCAACCAAAACCAUAAAAUAUCAAAAUGAUCCAUAAGGUGGUUGAAUAGGCCCACAAAUAUCCCCUUGAAUUCUUUGCAAAAAAGAUGGGGAUUCAGCAUCAAUCUUUAGUUGUGAUGGUCUAAUUACCAACUUCCCUUGAGAACAAGCCUUGCAAGGGUUAUCAUUUGAGAUAACAAUGUGUCGACUCAAUAAUGGAUGUUCAUUAUAGUUGAUAAUGAUUCUAAGCAUCAUGGUGGAUCAUGGAUGACCAAGACGGUCAUGCCAAAUCCUGUAAAAAAAUUUAUCAAUAAACUUCUGGUUCAUGACAGUAUGUGCUUCAAUUGUCUUUAUGUAUGUAUAAUACAAUCCACUAGAUAAACCAUGCAACUUCUCCAAUAUAUGCUUAUGGGUAUCAUUGAAUGUAAUGUAUAGAUACUCCACAUUGUCUGCACUUUUUGUUUCAAUGUGGUAUCCAUUUAAACGUAUGUCUUUAAAACUCAACAAAAUUCAAGUAGAUCGAGUAGCUUACAUCGCAUUUUGUAUGGACAAUAUUGUUCCAUUUGGUAACAUGGUCUGGUUUUCCCUGAGCCUUCAAUCUCAUCUUAUUGACUUGAUAUUGUUGUUAUCUUUACUUUUGUAAGCAUCAAGCUUAAGAAAUAUUUCCGAUCUCAAAGUAUUGUAUGCGUGGUUGCGCUAUCUACAAGACAAAUACGUGAAACCCCACCCCCAAAUUAAUUUGUAAUUUCACUAAGUUUGGGAUAUUUUUCUUUUAAAAUUAUUUUUGGGUCUUAAUGUGUGUGCCCAUGGGGCCCUCAUUCCUUUUUUAUCUCCCAUACCCGGCCUACUUUUUCUUUUUCCCUUUUUGGACCCAUGAGUCCCCCUCUCCCCUUUCCUUUUAUUUUCUAAAAAAAGCUCUAUUUUUCUUUCUCUCUCUAAACUCCCUCUCAACUCUCUCUAUCUCAGCUUCUUUCGAGGGCUUUUCUCACCAACAAACAAUACCACAACAACAUCAACAUUUCCAUUAACACCUUAGUGAGCUUAGAAUAAAAAGAGAACACCCUGAACCCUUCCCUUUCUCUCAGCCUACACUAUUCACCAAAGUUCUCCAACGAGUUUCCUCCUCAUCUGGCGAAGGUAAGCCUUGAAGCUCAUCCAAAAGUUGUACAUCAUGUCUUACUGUAUGUUUGGAAGUGGUUUUAAGAAGUUUUAUCAAUGUUUGGACGUAGGAACCUCACGGGGGAAAACUUCCCUAAUUUUUUGGCGAGCACUGCCCAUUUCGAGGCAAUUUUUGGCCAAACCAAAGUGAGUUGGCCUGCAUGCAAGGUAUCAACCUCUUCGUCUCACUGAUUAAUACAACUUUCCUUUUUGAAUCACCCAAUUUCGUUGAGUAUUGAAGAAGUUAUAUCCAUUUGAAUCUUACCUAAUUUUCGACGACCUUCAAGACUUUCGAGGCAUUUUCCAACCAAACCACAACAAGUUAUUAGUUUUGCAAGGUACGAUUCUCUUCAUUUCGUCGAGAACUAUGAUUUUCAUUUUUGAAUCACUCGAUUUGGUUGAGUAAUGAAGAAGUUAUGAGCGUUUGAAAGUGUGCCAAAAAUCGACCAAAACCUUGGCCUGAGAACCAUAUCCCAACUCAGAUUUCCUUUGGGUUAGGUAGCCCAGCCCAAAGCCUAAGCCCAAAUCCCAAAGUCUUAAGCCCAAAGGCCUAACCCAAAACUCUUUUAACCCUUUAAAGCCCAAAACCUUUUUAGCCUAGGCGCUACCUAACCCACUAACCUAACCCUAACCUAAGUCCAAAACCCUAAACUCUAAUUGGCCCAAAACCCUUUAUGGGGAAUAUUCCAUUAGGGAAUAUUCUUUAUGUUGAAUUUUACGAAAUUUACCCCGGACCCUUCUUAGCAUAAUUCGACGUCCUGAUUCCAUUUUUUACGUCCGUUUUCUCAAAUUCAAUAGUUUUAAUAGUGUUUUAUUAAUUGGACCCUUUAUGCUUAGGGGCAAUUAUUGUGGCAUUUCUAUCUUCGCUAGUUUGCGUGGCUUUUCGGCAACGAAGUAUCUGUGAAUGGACCCGUUCUAAAAUGCAUGUUUUAAUAGUAGAAAUGCAUACAUGAAAAACAUGAUUUACUGAAUACGUUUUGUGAACAUUUUAUGAGAAACUGAUUAUCAUGCUAUACUAAGCUUAUUUUGGAAUACCAUAUUUUCUAUCGAACCCAUAUUCUUGUAAGAUAUCUGAUGGAUGACGAUAUACUAUUUAGAACAUGUUUUUAUACACUUUUUUAUAGUAUAGAUGAUGGAUGACUUUAUACCAUGAAGAUGCUUUUGAGAUAUAUGUACCUAUGUUUGGAAAGAUUAUUUUCAGUGGUUUUGUGCGUACCUAGUGGUCCCUAUUAUUGACCUUCGGGUUGGGUGUUGUAGGAGCCUUCAGGCGAUUGAUACUUAUAUUGAUCUUCGGGUUGGGUGCUGUAUGAGCCUUCGGGCGAUUGAUACUUGUGAAGGAAGUGUUCUGAAGGAAGAAUUCUAUAUGUCUUCGGAAGAUAUUGAUACCACUAGUUAGCACACUAUAUACGAGAUACAUUUUAUGAAAGGUUUUAUGGCAUGCUAGAGUUUUUGGAAAAACUACCACUUAUUAUGCUAUUAGUUUUCAUAAAACUUUAAGGGUUAGUAUGUUGAUAACUGUUUCAAUAUUAUAUUAUAUAUAUAUAUAUAUAUCAACUCAGUCCACUAAUGUUUGUUUUGCGCCCCCUCAGGACUUAGAAUUGAGGCGUACAAUUCCGGCGUCAAGGCACUUCCGCAUUAGCAUCUUCGAGUCCUCUCGGUGUAGGACCCAUUCUUUUAUUCAUUCGAUUUUAUAUUAUUUCUUCUAGUAUUCUAGUUAGUUAUAUGAUCUGAACACGUUCCUCAUUUGCAUAAUAAUUAUAUUUAAAUUUCUAUUAGUCUUAUGUAUUCAUUGUUCUCAGCAUUUGCAUUCAAUAAAUGGCUUUCGUCAUCCUCGGGUGUCAACCAGCACGUAUCUAUCUUGGUGUUCAGGGAAUAUCGGGAUCGGGGUGUGUCAAAUAUCUCCACCAUUGCUCUUAUUUUGAGAAUAACCAUAGUUUUUAUCCAUGCUCUCUGAGUAAGGAAAUCACAGUUAAAAACAAUUUAUUUAUAAUAAAAGGAAAUUGACAUACCACUUUGAUUGAUUUUGAAAUGCAAGCAUUAGACUACAAGUUCAGGAUAAUAAGAGUACAUUAAACAAGAAUGAUUCACUCAGACCCAUACACUUCAUUCCCCCUUUCCACAAUGAAGUCUGAUACAUCUAGGUGGGUUGUGUUUAAUUGCCCUGAUAAAUCGAACACUUGAUCAGGUAUAUCCAUCGGUUUAACCUGGUUAAGGAAAUUGGUCUCGACACCUUUCUCCUUGAAGGAGGCUUGAUACAAAUCUACCAGAUAUUUUAGGGUACGAUAGGUAUGCGCUCAAUGCCCAUUGCCACCACACUUAUGGUAAACUCCUUCAAGAUUUCUAUGAGUAUUAUUCAUAUGAGCUUUGCCUUUGUGGCAAUUUGCAUUUUUUGGGCCUGAAUUAUGCAUUGGAACCUGGUUGUAAAACUGAACACCAUGAUUCAUGCCUUUCCUGUUCCACUGACCUCGUCUGUGUCCACGCUCUCGUUUGCAUUUAUUGCCACGAGAUGAUAUGGUGUUCAUUUCGAGGGAAGCAACAUUCAUUUCUGAGAAUGGUGUAGAUCCAGUAGGUCAGGACUGAUGAUUCUUCAUCAGGAGCUCAUUAUUUUGUUCAGCUACAAUGAGCAUAGAUAUCAGCUGAUUGUACUUAGUAAAGCCUCGUUCUUUAUAUUGUUGCUGCAAGAGCACAUUAGAGGCAUGAAAGGUGUUGAAGGUCUUUUCCAGCAUAUCCUCAUCAGUGAUGGUCUUUCCACAUAACUUCAUCUGGGAGCUAAUUUUGAACAUUGCAGAAUUGUACUCAGCCACCGACUUGAAAUCCUAGAUCUUCAGGUGAGUCCACUCAUAACGAGCCCUUAGAAGAAUCACCAUUUUCUGAUGAUUGUAUCUAUUUCUCGGUGCCUUCUAGAGAGCUAAUAGAUCAUCAACCGUUAAGUUCUCGCUCUUUAGUCUUUCAUCAAGGUGACGACAGAUAAAGAUCAUGGCAUUCACUCGAUCUUGAGAUGAUGCAUUAAUUUCCUACUUGAUGGUUUCUCCAAGAUUCCCUGCUUCCAAAUGGAUCUUGGCAUCCACUACCCAGGUAAAGUAGUUCUUCCUAGUAAUAUCCAGGGCAACAAAAUCAAGUUUGCCAAGUUCGCCAUUUUUUUUUGAAAGAAAAAUGAGAUAUGUAAGAACUUGCAAUAAUAUGUAUUCUUGAGGGAUGUAGUGUUAGAACUUAUGGUUCAUACAAAUUUUUCAUUUUGAUUUUUAGGUCAAAAUGAUAAGCACUCAAAACUUCAGGCUCAAGAUUUACAUGAUUAAUGAGAAGGGCGAUUAUACUGCACCAUUCUCAUUGAAACAAAAUAUAGCAUAUGAUGGACAAUUAUUCCGCACCAUUCAAGUAGCAAGAAAAUUUAAAUAUGCAGGGCAGGGUGGGCGAUUAUACCGCACCAUCUAAAAUUGCAGUAAAAUUAAAUCUGCAACUCAAGAUAAGUGAUGAUACCGCACCAUUUUGGAUUGCAGUAAGAUUUAAUUUGCAGUUCAAGAUGGGCGAUUGUACCGCACCAUCUUUGAUUGCAGUAAAAAUUAACAUAAAUAAAUAUUGGGUUAGUAAUCAAGAACUACACCAAACAAGAUCAAAAAUAUAUGUAAUCGUUAUAUUGAGGAUUAGAAGCAGACACGGUGCUAGCAGAUCUUCACAAAAGUAUAUCAGGAAGAUGAGGCAAAGGAAGAAGAAGAACAGUAAAAUCCUUGGAGGAAGCAUUUUUCGGUGAAGGAAGAUGAGAACUGGUUAGGAUUAAAGAGUCAUGCUAAUAACGUGUUAUAAAUAGACAAAAGUUAGAGAGAUAAUAUUUGCUAGUGACAUGAGUGAAAUGGGUGCAAAAUAUCACACUAUUUAUUUUCUUAACUAUAACACAAAAGUAUUGCAAGGGAAGUGAGGGAUACUGAUAUUAUUGAUUUUCUUCUUUUCUAAGAUGUACCUUGAUCACUUGCGGUGUGCUCUAUUUAUAGAGCCACAUCCAUAGGUUUACAAGAAGAAUCACCCGUGACUACACCUUUUGAAAAAGCAUAACAUAACAAACUCCCUACUAUUCAACACCAUUCUUAUGUGGGCAUUCAAUCAUUCUCACAAUUUUCCACAACAAGUAUAUCUUGUAACUUAAAAAAAUUAUUCAGGUAUGACUAAUUUGUACAUUAAAAUUUUUUACCGUUAAAUUUUGAUUAUUAAAUAAGAUUACUAAAUUUAUUACGUACAUAUAUUAGAUAAAUUUCUCUAAAAAAAUAUGGUCACUUACGUAUUUUUACAGUCAAGUUCGGAUCUCUCUCUUUCAGUAUAUUGUUUUCGAAUCCAUAUAGCCAAAAUACGAACAAUAUUACAGUUUGUGAUUGAUAGGAUGGUUGGUUUAAGGUGAAUUUCACUACCUUGAGCCUUUUUGAGUGACUGAAUAACUACAUUAUAGAGCAUACAAAACAGAAAACAAGGAUUUGAUACAGAUUGCUUUCGAGUUUCACCGCAUCGUGUUCUUAUUGUUUGGCAUCGGAUUAUCGACAUGGAAACGAUUCUCGUGCUAGCAAUUCACAGACGUUGUUCGGUUCGGCCUAGUAGCAUUAUCUUACCAAAUGGAUUCAUUUGGUGACCGGUUUGGUUCAGUAAAAUAAUGUCAAGUGUAAAUAGUAAAAUGAAUAUGGUCGUUUUCUUAUACACCAAACUAAAUCAAAUCAAUCCAACUACGGUUUUGUUCGGUUCAAUUCAAGACUACACCUCUAACGUUAAAAAACCAAACAAAAUUGUUCAAAUCGAUCAAGUGCAAAUAUUGAACCAAAUUAUUCGAAUCAAUUUUUAUUUCUUCAUUUUUAUCUCUUAUAUUUCGUAAUAUUUCUCUAUCUUUUCGAUCAUGUGACUUGCGAGUGAAAGAUAAAAAUCUUCUUUAAUAUCAAAAUACUUUUGGCACUAGUAAUAGAGUACUUGUGAAACAGGAAAGGAUCCACACCGGACCCCUUUCCUAGGGAUCCUAGGUAUCAUGUGAUCGUAACUGUUCAUCGUAUAUCAUGCUGUCAGUUUUCGUUAGGUACUAUUUAUAUUUAAUUUUAAAUUUUAAAUUUUGAAAUAAUUUUUUAUUGCACGAUGUACGAUAAACCGUCAUGAUCAUGGGAUCCCUAUCAUCUUCCUUGUGAAACACCGCACAUGAUGCACAAUUUUACACGUGACCGGCCGAGACCGCUCCAGAUGGAAAGAACAAAGCCGCAUGUGAAGAAUGGCCAAGAUGCGAUUGAUGUGUGUCCCAAACUCCUUGGUGGAUUUGGUCGAGCCAAUUGCUAGAAGCGACUAGCCUACAAUGUAAGAAUAAGCAUAGCCUUUAUAAUAUACUUAGCCAAGAACACAAGAAUUUAGCAACUAAAUCACAACCAACGCAUCAAAUAUGUUCUACAUAUGCAAAUACUGAAGUAAUAUCUGCAACACAUACCUGCCUGCAGACUGCUUACGAAGUCUUUCCCAUGUGUGCUGUCAGAAGACAGCAGAUGGUGCUGCUGCAUGUGUGGCGUGCUGUCACUUGUAUUUUGAAUUGUAAAGUUGUAUGUUGCAGUGUAUAUAACAAAGCCUUCCCGUAAGGCCUAAGAUAUGAAAUUGAUUUGAAAUGCUGCUGUGUUUCUUAGUUUAACACAUACAUGGAUGAAGAAGCCAUGGACGAAUCCACACACAACCUUCUCCUCUCUGCAAAACUCAAUGCUCUCCAAGUUAUAGGUAAUUGGAACAAUAAGAGCGUAUUUUUGUGAGAGCAGGGGCUUGUGGUUUUUAUACUACAAAAUCUGGAUUACCCUAUAAUAAUCCUACAAGGAAUACAAGAUCAAAUCCUUGUACAAGUAUGAGUUCUAUUUUCGAGCCAACAAUAGAGUUUCAAUCCAAACCAAAGUUGAAUUAACUCUUAUAAACACAUUAAGACAUCUUUAUACCAAUCUAAAUAACAAUGAUUAUUACUAAACUGUGAGAAUCACACUCAUACUCUAACAUACAAGUCAUUGUACAAUGUCCAUAGACAUUACAUACAUGAAAAUAUCUUACAUGAAACGAAUUCAUCGUUAUAUGACGUUUUAAUUCAAUAAUUUAUUGUUACGUGUAAAUAUUUCUUUACAUACCCUGUGACGGAUUUAGAAUCUGAACCUUGAGGGAAAUGAAAGAGUUCAUGAGCAAUCCCAAUAUUAUCCUGAAAUUAACCUCUCCACCUUCCAACAUCCAAACCAAAGCAUGAACAUCCUCCCUGAUAGUCUGCCAAAAAGAAUGAUAGAACACUCCUUGAAAUCCAUCGGUCCCGAAGCUUUGAGACCACCCAUCUGCAUCGUUGCAUCUUGAAUCUCCACAUCAGAUAUUGAAGACAACAAAGACUCAUUCAUACUGUCCGAAACUGAAGUAGGUACACAUUCCAAAAUAUCUCCCCAAUUCCUGCACCCCACAGAAGUGAAAAGAUUGAGAAAGUAGUCAUCAAUUAGUUUCUUGACCCUAUUCGGCCGCUCCUCUCAAUGACCAUCCUCCUGUUUGAGUUUCAGUAUGAUUCCUCCACCCCCGUUGCAUGGUUGCUGGAUGGAAAAAGGUGUUCGCAUCGCCUUCCAUAAGCCAUUGAACUCAUGACCUUUGUUGCCAAAAGCUUUCCUCCUGCGCCGAUAACUGAACAAGCAAUUUCGCCUUCUCGUGAAUCUCAUCAACAUAUGCACCCCAAUUUUUUUGAAGCUCACCAAGUUCAGAUGUUAGCGUCUCAAUUGCCUGCGCUCGCAUCUUGAAUUUACUUUGACUCCACCUAAUGAAUUGAGAUCGACAGUGAUUAAUCUUGUUGUGCCAAUAGGCCAAAAUAUCACCACCACAAGGACGGGCCCAUCACGUUUCCACCAACCUUUUGCAUUCCUCCUCCUUUGCCCAAAAAGCUUGAAAGAGAAACAACCAUCGUCCUACCAUAUGCUGGCAAUUCUCCACGGGCCUUGCCUCGGGCUCCCACCUUCACUCAAGCUGCCCAACGUUGGAGGCCUAUCCACCAGCCCUUGGGCCCUUUCCCUUCGCCUGUACCCCGAGCAACCACCAAGGAUGGAGUUGCUCUAAUAGGGCAAUGGUCCGAACUUAACACAGUACCAUGAACGACCAUAGUGCUCGGCCAUGACACCUGCCAUAACUGAUUUGAAAGUGCCCUAUCUAAUCUCUCUUCCACCAACUCACCAUUUCGAGUACCACGCCAAGUAAAGGGGGAACCAUUGAAGUCAAGAUCAAGUAGCUUAACUGUAUGCAUAAAAGUAGCCAGAUACUAAGGCCUAUUGCACAAAACAGCCGAGCCACCAGAUUUCUCAGAAUCCCAAAGAAACUCAUUGAAGUCCCCACCACACAACCAAGGAACACUAGAGGAUCGAAAAUAAGUAGUCAUCCAUUCCCAAAAUUGUGCUUUCUCCUGCCGAAUAGCAGUUCCAUACACUCCUGUCACACACACCCAACGAGACUCCCCCACCGGUCGUAGCCGAGCAUUGAUAACAUGCUUAAAAUGGAAGCUGAUUUCCACUUCUAAGUACUCAUCCCACCAAAGACUAUAAUUUCUUCUGCUUCAAAGAAUUUAAAAAUUACAUAUCUUGUAUAAUUGUUCUGGAAAACGAUUGCUACACUCAUAUUUUACUCUUAAACUUCCCCUCUCGAUUCUAGCCACGAAAUUGAAUAAAUUAACGACGAAUCGAUGAAACAAAAACUUGUAGGGUAGAGCAGAAAGACAAAAGGGGAGUGUAAAAAUCACUUCCCUAUAAUAUGUAUUCAAGUCUUGAGCUUGAUUGAGAUGCGCAACGUUUUUACGACAAACGAUAGAUACUUGGCUAUCUCUGGUCAUAUAUCCUUCUCUUUCUAUAUUUCUCAUUAUGAGAGAGGAAUAUAUCUCUGAUUGUAUGCAAAAUGUAGAGGCAUAUGGUCUAAUAAUAUAAUGGUUGGAGCCACCAAAAAGAUGAAGCUCCAAAUCUUGAUAGAUUUUUCAGUAUGCCGGGAACACAGCCGAUUCACCAAGUGUCAUAAUACAAGUAGUUGGAUACUUGAAAGAAAAAAAACCUUUUAACCACCUGUAUUGUGAUACUCGGUGUACCAAGCUAUAUUUCCGGCUUCCAGCAACUUUGUUAGUUUUAAAUAACAAGAAGACAGCAACAAGAAGCAUAAACCCUACCAAAUCUUGAAAAGCAAUAUCAUUCGAAUACUCUUGGAAAGGAAAGGGGUUACGAAUUACAGGCAGAAACAAGCAGAAGUAAAGCUACCAAAGAUCAUUUUUUGCAAACAUAGAACAGCAUAAUUCAGACAAGAAUAUUGCAGAUGGCACGCUGGUUGAAAGCGGCCGGUCUCAACAUUGGGGAAAGAUCACGGUAUUGAACCCGAAACAAAAUCUUAUUCAGGAAAUAGAGUACAACACAUAAACCGAAAAAUGAUUCAGAAAGGGAAACAAAAUAUAAAGGCACUCCUAAGGUAGAAGAUUUAAUCUAAGAAACUAGAUGUACAAUGUAAAGGGGAAUAAAAGCUUCCCUGCUUAUUGUCCGUGCACAUAGAUACGCGCGGCAAUGUCAUAACCAGAUCUGCUGAAUACUAUAUUUUUCCAGUGCAGUUUCAAGGCUGUUCCGAACACUUCAUUCUUUACCAUCAGCAGCACGCAGCGAACCAAGUUGAACUGGGGCUUGGGUUCCGACAACCUUAGAUGAGCCAUACACCGAGAGGUCAGCACCUUGUGCCUUCUCUUUCUCAAUCUGUUCCUUGAUCCAGAAGUAUGUAAUUCUCAGACCAUCCUACACGAAUAAAAAAGAAAAUGUAUGUUCAAAUUAUACCGUAAACAGGGAGCAAACACAAAUUCAACACCAAUAACC